This 686-nucleotide ribosomal RNA is filed under the name Microbacterium maritypicum. RNAcentral's name for it is "bacterial SSU rRNA". It matches the Rfam family "Bacterial small subunit ribosomal RNA", at positions 341 to 1038 of the family's 1533-position model. The record is from RNAcentral. Lineage: Bacteria; Bacillati; Actinomycetota; Actinomycetes; Micrococcales; Microbacteriaceae.
ACGGGAGGCAGCAGUGGGGAAUAUUGCACAAUGGGCGCAAGCCUGAUGCAGCAACGCCGCGUGAGGGACGACGGCCUUCGGGUUGUAAACCUCUUUUAGCAGGGAAGAAGCGAAAGUGACGGUACCUGCAGAAAAAGCGCCGGCUAACUACGUGCCAGCAGCCGCGGUAAUACGUAGGGCGCAAGCGUUAUCCGGAAUUAUUGGGCGUAAAGAGCUCGUAGGCGGUUUGUCGCGUCUGCUGUGAAAUCCGGAGGCUCAACCUCCGGCCUGCAGUGGGUACGGGCAGACUAGAGUGCGGUAGGGGAGAUUGGAAUUCCUGGUGUAGCGGUGGAAUGCGCAGAUAUCAGGAGGAACACCGAUGGCGAAGGCAGAUCUCUGGGCCGUAACUGACGCUGAGGAGCGAAAGGGUGGGGAGCAAACAGGCUUAGAUACCCUGGUAGUCCACCCCGUAAACGUUGGGAACUAGUUGUGGGGUCCAUUCCACGGAUUCCGUGACGCAGCUAACGCAUUAAGUUCCCCGCCUGGGGAGUACGGCCGCAAGGCUAAAACUCAAAGGAAUUGACGGGGACCCGCACAAGCGGCGGAGCAUGCGGAUUAAUUCGAUGCAACGCGAAGAACCUUACCAAGGCUUGACAUAUACGAGAACGGGCCAGAAAUGGUCAACUCUUUGGACACUCGUAAACAGG